UGCAAUAUGGAGGCAGCCAGGAAUGCAACUUGUUAACUAUUAAAGUACCCUUCGUUUUAGUUCAUCACUCAAAGUGUUUGUUGAGUCUUUGAUCAUCUAGCUAUUAACAUGGUGGUAGCGAAGUAGCAGAACCCACAGUUGGGAAACAAAGAAUAAGUAUUACAAAAUAACUAAAGAAGAAAAUAGAAAUAGAAUCUUUUACGAAAUCUAGAGCGAAGGUAACAAAAGAUGGCGGAGAGUUUGUUCAAACCGCCAACCGACCUGAAUAUAACUGAGGGCAACAUCUCAGAAAACUUCAGAAAAAUGGAAACGGCUCAUGGAGGUUUACAUGGCGGCUUCUGGAGCCAACACAAAACCAAAAGAACAGCAAGUGGCUAUUAUACUACAAUGUGCUGGCCCAAGAGCUAUUGAGAUUCACGACCACUUCACUUAUAAGCAAGAUGAAGAACCCAACUACCAUAGGACAGUACUUAAAAAAAAUAGAAGAGUACUGAAACCCCAGAAACAACGAGGUGUUGGAGACCUUCAGAUUCUGGAAUCUAAAAGAAAGCUCCCCCUUCGACAGUCUCCUAACAGAACUGAGGACACAAGCAGAGAAAUGCAAUUUCAAAGACAAAGAUGGAAUGUUGAGAGACAAAAUAGUGUUCUCAGUAAAUAGACAAAUUCAAGAAAGAUUAUUACCGUGUCAGGACUGACACUGAAGAAAACCAUAGGUAUUUGCCAAGCUUUCGAACAAUCCAACAACAGCUUGAACGAACUAAACAAUGCCGAAGCACCCAUUCUUGUUGACAAAGUAAGAUCUAAAGAACCCAGAACAAAACCUUGAUUACAGACUGCCGGUAUUGAGGGAGAACCCAUGAACAUAGGAAAUGUCCAGCAUGGGGACAAGUUUGUGCCAAAUGCAAAAAAAGAAACCACUUUGCAGCUAAGUGCAUAAACGCAGUAAGGAUACAAGAGCCCGCUGAGAGUGACAAUGAAGAAUACCUAAACACCCUAAAUGCACCAAGUGACAAAAUGACAGCAGUAUUCUUGAUUAACAACCUGAAUGUUAGAUUUCAACAUGACACUGGAGCAGACAUAAACAUUAUUUGCAAGACAUCAUUUGACCACAGCCAUUGGACUGACCCAGUCAGUGGGUUCAUCAACAGGGAUAAGUAUUUUCCGACUCACCAAAAGCUUGAUUUCUUGCUUGACUUUUUCUCUCAUAGUAUGGGGGAUCUUCCGACACUGAGAGACCACUGGUGCCACUGUUUCGUCUACAGUGAGAUGAGCCUCGCCUAAAUCUCCCAGAUCGCUUUCUUCACUGUGAACAGGUGCAAUGACGUUUUCCUUGUUGACAGUUAUUAGUCCCAAUCGUUUGCAAGUCUGUAAACCCAAUAAACAUUGCAACCCGUUGUCCACAAUGGUGAAUCUCACCUUUUCUUGCUUGCCAUUUUAAGGAUUCGUCAUGAUGAGAUCAGCCAUGACCGCUGGCUUCAUUUUUGACUGAUUCCACAUAGUAAGAGUUUGGGAUGUUUCUCUGACUUGACUUUUUCUGACAAAUCUCUUGCAAAUGAUGUUUACAUCUGCUCCAGUAUCCAGUUGAAAUCUAACAUUCAGGUCGUUAGAAUACCGCUGUCAUUUUGUCACUUCGCGUCCCGGAACGAUUAUUGGACAAGAAACUCCAAGAUCUUAUAAGAUUAGAAGUGAGGAGGGCGGAACGUACAUUCGAAACCAAGUAGACAUAAGACGACAGCAAUCAACAAAGAUGGAAAAUAGAAACAUUGAAAGGCAAGACAACUACAACGAUGAUGAAGAUUGGUGGAGAGAGUUUAGGACAGUCGAUCCAGUCCCAGCGCAACACACUGAAACCCCCAUCCUGUUGACCCCUCCUGUAAAGGAAAACAACUUUCCAUCAGAUGUCCAACCUCACUCAACCACAUACCAAAUGGACAAUCCAAUCAACCCGUCACAUACGCACACGGAACCAACCAACAAUAGAAGACCUGCAUCAACAAGAGAAAGGAAGAAACCUGUUUGGCAAAAGAACUAUUUCAUGAAGUAGAACUACAGACAGUAUCUUUAUUAUCUUUGUGUUGACAAAGAAAGGAGGAUGUUAGUUAAGAACAUUAAGUCUAAUGCUUAAAAUGAUGCUUAUUUGUUAGAGUAGUCUCCCUUGAGUUUUAUAGUUUGUUAUGAUUUCAUGCAAUAUGGAGGCAGCCAGGAAUGCAACUUGUUAACUAUUCAAGUACCCUUCGUUUUAGUUCAUCACUCAAAGGGUUUGUUGAGUCUUUGAUCAUCUAGCUAUUAACACAAGGUCUAAAAGAGCCUUUAUAGCUCAUGAAGUAAUCAGCAUGAUUGAGGACGAGGACCUUGAUUUUAUUUCUGCUGAUGUAUUCAUUAUGCCUCCCGACGAUGGCCAAAAUUCAGACGAAGACAGUGGAGAUGAGGAUGGUGGCCAACCAGAUAACUUUUGCCCUUCUCAACUGAAUAGUCAGGCAGAGUUUAUCUUGCAUGGUUUACAAAGUACGACAUCUGACGAUGGAGCUGCAGAUAACAUCGUUGGUAAUGAUGAACAAAACAUGCCUCAAACUUCUGCAAGGAGAAAAAGGAAAGUCGAAAGAAAGAAGAGGCUAUGGAUUAAAUCUUCAGUGGAUAGAAUUGAACAAAAGCAGUGGUGUGAUGGCAUUAGAACCAACGAAGAACAUGAGGUGGAUUAUCUCACAACGGUGCAUUUUUAAAAACAGUUCUUUGACUCAGAAAUGUUAGAUUUUAUAGUUUUAAAUACUGAAAAGUAUGCCAAAGAGAUGAAAGGAAAACACCAGUUUUCAACGUGUGCCUCCGAAAUUAAAGCCUGCAUUAUUAUUAUUGCAGCAUAGCUACUCAGGCUAUUCUAUUUUUCCCAGAAGAGAGAUGUAAUGGGAACGCAGUGAGGAUUGUGGUAUUAAGGCAGUUUAUAAUGCUAUGAGCUGAAUAAGAUUCGAUGAACUCUUGAGAUACAUUUAUCUUUCAGACAACAAUCUAGAUUCAACAGACAAACUAAGCAAAGUGAGGCAAUAUUUAAAUCUUAUGAAUGAAAGGUGCUUAAGAAAUUUCUAAUCAGUUCAAAAUCUAAGCAUCGAUGAGACCAUGGUACCAUAUUUCGGCAGACAUUCUGCCAAGCAAUUUAUAAAAAAUAAACCUAUAAGGUUUGGCUACAAAGUAUGGAGUUUAGCCACCCCUUCAGGCUAUGUGGCUCAGUUUGAUCCUGAUGUUGGUGCCUCAGCAACAAUUGAUAGACAUGAACUUGGGCUAGGCCCUGGCUUGCCUUCCUCCAGAACCCUACAAACUAUAUUUUGGUAAUUUUUUCACAACUCUAGCACUGAUGGACAGAUUAUCAGAAAAGGGAAUUGGAGCUAUAGGCACUAUCAGAGCCAACAGGCUUAAACAAUGUCCACUAGGACUGAAAUGAAAAAAAAAAAAGAAAGAGGACAGACAUAGCAAUUUAAUAAUUUUACAGUGGAAUGACAACAGUGUUGUUUCUAUUGCUUCCAAUGUUUCUGGUGACCUGCCAUUGAAAAUGUCCAGCGAUGGUCAAAAAAGGAAAAAAGAAUGUAUUCAGGUUAUUACAUAACCAAACAUCAUUUCACUCUACAAUCAAAAUAUGGGAGGAGUUGAUAGAGCUGACCAAAAUAUAGCAAAAUACAGAUCAGAAACAAAAAGUGGUGGUCGCCCUUUUUUGGCUGGCCAAUCCAUUUAUGCUUACAAAAUGCUUGGCUACUUUAUCGUCAGUCUGAGUUGUUCACAUCACAACCUCUGGACUUGUUGGCUUUCAGAAGAUAUGUUGUGAACUCUUGGUUUCUGCAGUGGGACAGCCAAAAAAGUAGAAGUACCACUCCUUCAAAGUCUGUGAUUUGCAAAAGAGUGCCAUUGGAAAUGAGGUACAACCAAACGAUGUGCAAUUUGCAAAAAGACUUGCAAUAAAGGAUGCUCAGUGUGUCCUGUUGGAUUACAUUUGAAAUGUUUUAAUCUUUUUCAUAGCCAUACUAUGUAAAUAAUUCUAUUUUCAUUGUUUUGUUUGUAAAAAAAUUUACUUUCUAAAAAAAUAUGUUUUUUUCUACUGAAUCUUCAUAAUAUUUUUGUUAAUAAAAAUUUAAAAUGUGACUUUUA
Molecule: long non-coding RNA, 4128 nt
Organism: Biomphalaria glabrata
Lineage: Eukaryota; Metazoa; Mollusca; Gastropoda; Planorbidae
Exons: 3
Source: RefSeq, a predicted model, not a curated record